Molecule: ribosomal RNA, 400 nt
Filed under: uncultured bacterium
Lineage: Bacteria
Description: bacterial SSU rRNA
Rfam family: Bacterial small subunit ribosomal RNA
Source: RNAcentral
GGGGAAUCUUGGACAAUGGGCGCAAGCCUGAUCCAGCCAUGCCGCGUGAGUGAAGAAGGCCUUAGGGUUGUAAAACUCUUUCGCCGGUGAAGAUAAUGACGGUAACCGGAGAAGAAGCCCCGGCUAACUUCGUGCCAGCAGCCGCGGUAAUACGAAGGGGGCUAGCGUUGUUCGGAACUACUGGGCGUAAAGCGCACGUAGGCGGGUUUGUAAGUAGGGGGUGAAAUCCCAGGGCUCAACCCUGGAACUGCCUUCUAGACUGCAAGCCUGGAGGUCAGGAGAGGCGAGUGGAAUACCGAGUGUAGAGGUGAAAUUCGUAGAUAUUCGGUGGAACACCAGUGGCGAAGGCGACUCGCUGGACUGAUACUGACGCUGAGGUGCGAAAGCGUGGGGAGCAAAC